AGUGAACGUUGGCGGCGUGGAUUAGGCAUGCAAGUCGAGCGAGAACCGUAGCAAUACGGGGACAGCGGCGAAAGGGACAGUAAUGUGUAGGUACCUACCCCCGGGUUCGGGAUAGCUGCGGGAAACUGCAGGUAAUACCGAAUAAUGUCUCCGGACCAAAGGUGUGAUCCCACCUGGGGAGGGGCCUGCAUCCUAUUAGCUUGUUGGUGGGGUAACGGCCUACCAAGGCGACGAUGGGUAGCGGGUGUGAGAGCAUGACACGCGUCAUUGGGGCUGAGACACGGCCCAGACCCCUACGGGUGGCUGAAGUCGAGGAUCUUCGGCAAUGGGCGCAAGCCUGACCGAGCGACGCCGCGUGCGGGAUGAAGGCCUUCGGGUUGUAAACCGCUGUCGUAGAGGAGGAAAUGCAGGAGGGUUCUCCCUCCUGUUUGACCUAUUCUAGGAGGAAGUACGGGCUAAGUUCGUGCCAGCAGCCGCCGUAA
RNAcentral lists this ribosomal RNA (482 nucleotides) under uncultured bacterium. Its description in RNAcentral is "partial 16S ribosomal RNA". It matches the Rfam family "Bacterial small subunit ribosomal RNA", at positions 28 to 523 of the family's 1533-position model. The record is from RNAcentral.